Molecule: transfer RNA, 83 nt
Filed under: Clostridiales bacterium
Lineage: Bacteria; Bacillati; Bacillota; Clostridia; Eubacteriales
Description: tRNA-Leu
Rfam family: tRNA
About the family: Transfer RNA (tRNA) molecules are approximately 80 nucleotides in length.
Source: RNAcentral
GCUGAAAUGGCGGAAUGGCAGACGCAGCGGACUUAAAAUCCGCUGUCCGCGAGGGCGUGCGGGUUCGAGUCCCGCUUUCAGCA